UCUCCUGGAAACGGGUGGUAAUGCCGGAUGUUCCAGUUGAUCGCAUGGUCUUCUGGGAAAGCUUUCGCGGUAUGGGAUGGGGUCGCGUCCUAUCAGCUUGACGGCGGGGUAACGGCCCACCGUGGCUUCGACGGGUAGCCGGCCUGAGAGGGCGACCGGCCACAUUGGGACUGAGAUACGGCCCAGACUCCUACGGGAGGCAGCAGUGGGGAAUAUUGCACAAUGGGCGCAAGCCUGAUGCAGCGACGCCGCGUGAGGGAUGGAGGCCUUCGGGUUGUAAACCUCUUUUAUCGGGGAGCAAGCGUGAGUGAGUUUACCCGUUGAAUAAGCACCGGCUAACUACGUGCCAGCAGCCGCGGUAAUACGUAGGGUGCAAGCGUUAUCCGGAAUUAUUGGGCGUAAAGGGCUCGUAGGCGGUUCGUCGCGUCCGGUGUGAAAGUCCAUCGCUUAACGGUGGAUCCGCGCCGGGUACGGGCGGGCUUGAGUGCGGUAGGGGAGACUGGAAUUCCCGGUGUAACGGUGGAAUGUGUAGAUAUC
This 537-nucleotide ribosomal RNA is filed under the name Bifidobacterium longum subsp. infantis. RNAcentral describes it as "bacterial SSU rRNA". It matches the Rfam family "Bacterial small subunit ribosomal RNA", at positions 146 to 698 of the family's 1533-position model. The record is from RNAcentral. Lineage: Bacteria; Bacillati; Actinomycetota; Actinomycetes; Bifidobacteriales; Bifidobacteriaceae.